Molecule: long non-coding RNA, 686 nt
Organism: Rosa chinensis
Lineage: Eukaryota; Viridiplantae; Streptophyta; Magnoliopsida; Rosales; Rosaceae
Exons: 3
Source: RefSeq, a predicted model, not a curated record
CGACCCGAAAACCCGAGAAGGCGAUCCGGCAAUAUCUCCACCUUCCGCUCGAUUCACGGCGACGAUCAGGCGGCAUUCUCUUUACCUCAACGGCGCAAAGCUCAACCAAACCUCCAAGAUAGCAAAACGAGGUCCGAAAGCUACGGAGGUUUCGAUGCAUUUUCCGGCAACUCCAGUCACCGACGAUAGCAACUGAGAACUUGUGAAGUGGAACACCAUCGGGGAAAAUGUAACUCUAUUUGCUGAAAUUGGGAAACAGAGAUUGGAAAGCUCAGAACUUGGUGCUUGAGAUCAGUUCCAAUACAACAGCAAAAUUUGAUAAGGGUUUGUCCUCGUGAUUCUCAAAAGAAGAGGUAGUGUUCUGGAAUUUCAUUUGGAUUUGCGCUAGUAGGAUUCUAUGGGACUGUGACCAUGGAAUUAUGUCUUAGGAUUAUAAUUGAUAAUCAUUCAGAGCGGCAUAUAUGUUACCUGGAACUUUGACAUAAAAUGUGUAUGGAAUUGUGGAGUUUAAGAAAUACUGAUUUAGAUGUUAGGAAUCUGAUUAUGGUUUCAGUCAAUUAGUCAAUUGUCGUGAGCUUUGUUUUGUAAAGAAGGGUAUUGAUAUUGGAAAUCCUUAAUUAUGCCAACAUAUGAAUAUCAUGCAUCUUAUAAUGGUGUUAAGGCCAUUGCUAAUUUGCUAUCUUGUG